ACGAACGCUGGCGGCGUGCUUAACACAUGCAAGUCGCACGGAAAGGCCUCUUUCGGGGGGUACUCGAGUGGCGAACGGGUGAGUAACACGUGAGUAACCUGCCCUUGACUUUGGGAUAACUUCAGGAAACUGGGGCUAAUACCGGAUAGGAGCUCCUGCUGCAUGGUGGGGGUUGGAAAGUUUCGGCGGUUGGGGAUGGACUCGCGGCUUAUCAGCUUGUUGGUGGGGUAGUGGCUUACCAAGGCUUUGACGGGUAGCCGGCCUGAGAGGGUGACCGGCCACAUUGGGACUGAGAUACGGCCCAGACUCCUACGGGAGGCAGCAGUGGGGAAUAUUGCACAAUGGGUGGAAGCCUGAUGCAGCAACGCCGUGUGAGGGAGGACGGCCUUCGGGUUGUAAACCGCUUUCGCUCAUGACGAAGCUUUGUGUGACGGUAGUGGGUAAAGAAGCACCGGCUAACUACGUG
This 466-nucleotide ribosomal RNA is filed under the name uncultured bacterium. RNAcentral describes it as "partial 16S ribosomal RNA". It matches the Rfam family "Bacterial small subunit ribosomal RNA", at positions 29 to 507 of the family's 1533-position model. The record is from RNAcentral.